This 78-nucleotide transfer RNA is filed under the name Pseudofrankia coriaricola. Its description in RNAcentral is "tRNA-His". It matches the Rfam family "tRNA". Rfam says of the family: Transfer RNA (tRNA) molecules are approximately 80 nucleotides in length. Their secondary structure includes four short double-helical elements and three loops (D, anti-codon, and T loops). The record is from RNAcentral. Lineage: Bacteria; Bacillati; Actinomycetota; Actinomycetes; Frankiales; Frankiaceae.
GUGACCGAUGCCGAAGCGGUCGAGGCACCAGGUUGUGAUCCUGGCCACGAGAGGGUUCGAGUCCCUCCGGUCACACCA